This is a non-coding RNA of Labrus bergylta (ballan wrasse), 263 nucleotides long. The record is from RefSeq and is a predicted model, not a curated record. NCBI's taxonomy places the organism in Eukaryota, Metazoa, Chordata, Actinopteri, Labriformes, Labridae.
AUCUCCUACAGGUCCAGUGUGUCGAUGACCCUACUGGUCUGACUGGAGUCGUGGUGGAUGGAGAGAGAACAUAUCCAUUACCUGAUCCUCUGAUUGGGAACAAUCAGCAGAAUCAUGUGGACAACUCACCCAACGUGGGAGGAGUGUUGGAGCAGCAGAGACCCUUAGAGGAGAUUCUUCACCAGGGAGAACACUCCCAUAGUGACACCACCAACAGGGGACCCCAGACCAGAUGGAGUCUGACUCAUCUAUUGAUGGUUGCU